Molecule: long non-coding RNA, 835 nt
Filed under: Nicotiana tabacum (common tobacco)
Lineage: Eukaryota; Viridiplantae; Streptophyta; Magnoliopsida; Solanales; Solanaceae
Description: long non-coding RNA (NTAB_LNC010411)
Source: RNAcentral
CGAUCCUUUAUUAGUUGGUGAAUAUUGGAAAUGUGAAUUUUCUGUUUACACACUCUAGAGUUUAUCAAAAUAAUUUCCAGAAUAUUAUACUCAUGAACUUGCUAAUAUAGUUGCAUUUAUUUUGGAGGUUGACAAACUAUAAAGCAGGAGCAUAGGCUACCACUCCCUUGUGAACUACAACUGCAUUUUUGGGGCAUUUCACUUGCUGGAUAUCUUUUUAUGGCUUCUAAACCGCAACUGAAAUUGCCACACUUAUCGGUUACUUGGAAGCUCGUUGGACAUAGUUUUGGUGGUUGCCCUGAAUUUAUAAGACCAAACCAAUGAAAAAAUAAAUUAGCCUUUAUAUCAUGCAAUUAAAAAAAAAAAAAAGAACAAUCCAGUGCACAAAGUAUCCUGCGUUUACAUAGGGUCCGGGGGAAAGGCUGCAAAUAGCAGCCUACCCAAAUACAAGUAUCAGUGGCAAAUUCCACGGCUCGAACCCGUGACCAGGUUCGAACUCGUAACCCAUAGGUCUGUUUACCCUAAAAAAAGGUACAACUAAUUGAGUACAAAGUAGGCACUGGAAUUAUUUUCUCGGAUAAAUUUAAUUCACGUAUUUAUAACUACGUUGCAAAUCCAAUUGUACCUUUUUCGAGGGUAAACAAGGUCACACGGAGACAAUGGAAUUAAAAUUUGUGCAGAAUCAAAUCAAAAUGAUUAAUGCUAAGAAGUAACGAAAUUCAUACCAAGAGAAGGAGCUGAGAAGCUCAACAGAAGAGCAAUUGAGAGUAGGAACAAAAUACUGAAAUUCUUCAUUAUUUAUUGGAAUUGAUUCACACUUUCUGUAUGAUUAUCG